Molecule: long non-coding RNA, 564 nt
Organism: Symphalangus syndactylus (siamang)
Lineage: Eukaryota; Metazoa; Chordata; Mammalia; Primates; Hylobatidae
Source: RefSeq, a predicted model, not a curated record
ACAAUUGCGAUCAAGACAAAGCUGACUGAAGAUACCCAAGCUCAGAUCCAGCUGAAGAACAAAAGGGAGAAGAAUUAAUCCGAAAGAUACAACUCUAUUUGUCAAGUGGUUGCCUCUUGGAGUGUUAACUCCUCUUCAUUUCUGGAUUGUGCAUGAAUGGAGCCAGUAGUGUUUCCUGAGGUAUCCUUCAAAGAAGCCUGUGGGACAUAUUUGAGGGAAGGCAUUUUCAAUGAAAAGUGGGCAAAGCCUAUCUGGAACUGAUUGUUAUACCCGGGCCUAGAAUCAAAGAACCCAUCCUCAGCCCACCCACAAAUGGCUGUAUCCAGCACUACAUAUCUGCUCAAAAAACAAAAGCGACCCAAGUGGAAAGAGAAAGCUAAUCAUGGGCUUGGCAUCUGAUUGUGGUCUGGCUUAAUACAAUAUUCUUAGAGCCAACUGGAAAGGAAACCACCACCCAAAUCCGUCACGACGUGUGCUAUCACAGAAACAACUUGAAGCUUUUGGCCUACCUUUCAUUUUGCCUGUAGAAACCAAAAUGCACAAAUAAAAAUUAAGACCCUGGAA